AUGAGGUGCCCUGCUCAGCUCCUGGGGCUGCUCAUGCACUGGAUCCCAGGAUGCAGUGGAGAUGUUGUGAUGACCCAGACUCCACUCUCCCUGCCUGUCACCCUGGGAGAGCCGGCCUCCAUCUCCUGCAGGUCUAGCCAAAGCAUCCUGCAUAGCGAUAAGAAAACUUAUCUGAAUUGGUACUUGCUAAAGCCAGGCCUGGCUCCACAACUCCUGAUCUACAGGGUUUCCAGGAGAGUUUCUGGGGUCCCAGACAGGUUCAGUGGCAGUGGAUCACGUACAGAUUUCACAUUGACCAUCAGCAAAGUGGAAGCUGAGGAUAUUGGGGAUUAUUAUUGCAUGCAAGGUACACAUUUUCCUCCAUAG
Perognathus longimembris pacificus (Pacific pocket mouse) is the source of this 366-nucleotide non-coding RNA. The record is from the annotation of a RefSeq genome assembly. Lineage: Eukaryota; Metazoa; Chordata; Mammalia; Rodentia; Heteromyidae.